Molecule: ribosomal RNA, 468 nt
Filed under: uncultured bacterium
Lineage: Bacteria
Description: partial 16S ribosomal RNA
Rfam family: Bacterial small subunit ribosomal RNA
Source: RNAcentral
GACGAACGCUGGCGGCGGGCUUAACACAUGCAAGUCGAACGGAAAGACCCUGCUUGUGUGGGGUGCUCGAGUGGCGAACGUGUGAGUAACACGGGAGUAACCUGCCCUGGACUUUGGGAUAACUUCAGGAAACUGGGGCUAAUACCGGAUAGGAGCUCCUGCUGCAUGGUGGGGGUUGGAAAGUUUAGGCGGUUGGGGAUGGACGCGCGGCUUAUCAGCUUGUGGGUGGGGUAGUGGCUUACCAAGGCUUUGACGGGUAGCCGGCCUGAGAGGGUGACCGGCCACAUUGGGACUGAGAUACGGCCCAGACUGCUACGGGAGGCAGCAGUGGGGAAUAUUGCACAAUGGGCGGAAGCCUGAUGCAGCAACGCCGCGUGCGGGAUGACGGCCUUCGGGUUGUAAACCGCUUUCGCCUGUGACGAAGCGUGAGUGACGGUAAUGGGUAAAGAAGCACCGGCUAACUACGUG